RNAcentral lists this ribosomal RNA (725 nucleotides) under Streptomyces sp. 1CM20. Its description in RNAcentral is "bacterial SSU rRNA". It matches the Rfam family "Bacterial small subunit ribosomal RNA", at positions 118 to 854 of the family's 1533-position model. Lineage: Bacteria; Bacillati; Actinomycetota; Actinomycetes; Kitasatosporales; Streptomycetaceae. The record is from RNAcentral.
UGGGCAAUCUGCCCUGCACUCUGGGACAAGCCCUGGAAACGGGGUCUAAUACCGGAUACUGACCCGCUUGGGCAUCCAAGCGGUUCGAAAGCUCCGGCGGUGCAGGAUGAGCCCGCGGCCUAUCAGCUUGUUGGUGAGGUAAUGGCUCACCAAGGCGACGACGGGUAGCCGGCCUGAGAGGGCGACCGGCCACACUGGGACUGAGACACGGCCCAGACUCCUACGGGAGGCAGCAGUGGGGAAUAUUGCACAAUGGGCGAAAGCCUGAUGCAGCGACGCCGCGUGAGGGAUGACGGCCUUCGGGUUGUAAACCUCUUUCAGCAGGGAAGAAGCGAAAGUGACGGUACCUGCAGAAGAAGCGCCGGCUAACUACGUGCCAGCAGCCGCGGUAAUACGUAGGGCGCGAGCGUUGUCCGGAAUUAUUGGGCGUAAAGAGCUCGUAGGCGGCUUGUCACGUCGGUUGUGAAAGCCCGGGGCUUAACCCCGGGUCUGCAGUCGAUACGGGCAGGCUAGAGUUCGGUAGGGGAGAUCGGAAUUCCUGGUGUAGCGGUGAAAUGCGCAGAUAUCAGGAGGAACACCGGUGGCGAAGGCGGAUCUCUGGGCCGAUACUGACGCUGAGGAGCGAAAGCGUGGGGAGCGAACAGGAUUAGAUACCCUGGUAGUCCACGCCGUAAACGGUGGGCACUAGGUGUGGGCGACAUUCCACGUCGUCCGUGCCGCAGCUA